RNAcentral lists this long non-coding RNA (472 nucleotides) under Vigna radiata. RNAcentral describes it as "long non-coding RNA (VRAD_LNC003613)". Lineage: Eukaryota; Viridiplantae; Streptophyta; Magnoliopsida; Fabales; Fabaceae. The record is from RNAcentral.
GAUAUGCUUUUUAUGAUGGAUUUAUGCGUGUUUAAGCCUUGGAAGUUAACUAAAACAAGAUCCCCCAGCUUUUGCCAAUCCAAAAUACAAAAUAAAUGUGCUGAAAACCCAAACAGCAAGCAAACUGAAACUGCAGCAGGAAAAUGAGUGGAAAAUGGUGGUUUUAGUGGUAAAAUUGAGUGGCAGUGAUUUAAAUGAGAAAAGGAUACCUCCAGCAAAUUUUAAUCAUCAUAUUCAACUUGUAAAAGCUAUGAAACAACCAAGAAAAGAAGUAAUGCAGAAUUUGACUUGUGCACUUGCCAAAAAUGAGCAAAAUUUGGUGAUUUAGAAGGUAUAUAUCAGUUUGGCUCAAAAUUGACCAUAUGAACAGUAACAAACAAAUUUCAAUUCACCAAAAAUGACUCUCUAAGCCAUGAAACAGAUCCAAAACAGUCAAGAUCUCAAAAUGAGUGGUUCACUUGAAUAUGUCAAG